CACAGACAUACAGAGCAAAUGUUAAUACGCAAGAUUAGACAUUAUUUCAAUGGUAAAACACAGUGAGCUCAAGAUGCCCUGACAAACAGUGGGUCUGUUGCCAUGACAACAGUGAUGCUUAACGGCAUCAAGCAGUUAUUACACAUUUGCAGUGUUGUGAUAUACGUGUUGCUUGGAGAUUCAACGUUACACAGAAGCCACAUUUGCGCCAAGGACAUCUCUUAAGACAUCUCUGCCUAGGAUCAAUUACACAGUGUGUUUAUUUAUUCCUUGCGGGGAGUCUGGGGGUGGUGGCUGUUUAAUGCAGAAUCAUGCUGAAAUCUCUGAGCGAGAUGGUUAUUCAUCUGUGUCUGUGUAGCCUUGGCAAAGGAGCUGCCCCCCACCCAACUGCUGAAUACAUUAAUCUAAUGAGAUGUCUGCAGUCUGUGUGCUAUGCAGCAGAGUAAUUCAAGUAUCCUACAGACACUAUAGAGAAAAGGAGGAGAAAAUGCACAUGGAGGAGAAGUUCCUUUAGCGAAAUAGGGUCUUGGGCAACUUAAUAAUAAAACAUUACCUAGGAGGUAAGGGUAAAGAAAGCAGACAGCAUACACGUGAACAAUGACUGCUAGGGCUUAAUGAAAAUGAUAUGUGAUGUAAUUUUGUUUAGUCAUUUUACAUUUUGGACAAUUAAUUCAUACAAUCCUGUUUUCUUAUAUUCCUGCGAUAAAAAUCACAUGUUUAUAAAAGGACCUGAAACCUGUAUUAUUUUUGAAAGCAUGCUGUCUCUGUUAAAAAAAUAAUAAUAAUGGAAGAACAUUGUGUUUGA
Long non-coding RNA from Ictalurus furcatus (blue catfish), 805 nucleotides. RefSeq lists it as uncharacterized. NCBI's taxonomy places the organism in Eukaryota, Metazoa, Chordata, Actinopteri, Siluriformes, Ictaluridae. The record is from RefSeq and is a predicted model, not a curated record. The transcript has 2 exons.